RNAcentral lists this ribosomal RNA (1849 nucleotides) under seawater metagenome. RNAcentral describes it as "bacterial LSU rRNA". It matches the Rfam family "Bacterial large subunit ribosomal RNA", at positions 1083 to 2925 of the family's 2925-position model. The record is from RNAcentral.
UCUAAGACAGUCAGGAUGUUGGCUUAGAAGCAGCCAUCAUUUAAAGAGUGCGUAACAGCUCACUGAUCGAGAGGCUUUGGGCCGAAAAUGAACGGGGCUCAAGUGCACAACCGAAGCUGCGGAUUGGAAGUGAUCGUUGAUUGCUUUCAGUGGUAGGGGAGCGUUCUGACUGGGUGAAGGGCUACGGUAACGAGGCCUGGACGGUUCAGAAGUGAUUAUGCCGGAAUGAGUAGCGAUAAAGCAGGUGAGAAUCCUGCUCGCCGAAAACCUAAGGUUUCCUGGGCACGGUAAAUCCGCCCAGGGUUAGUCGGUCCCUAAGGCGAGGCCGAAAGGCGUAGUCGAUGGGUAACGGGUUAAUAUUCCCGUACCACUAACUGGCGUUUGACCGAUGGAGUAACGCGGAAGAGAGUGUUAUCGCGGUGACUGAUGUCCGCGUGUAAGCCCGAGGGCGGUAGAUAGGUAAAUCCGUCUACGUAAACCCGGAGGUGAUGCCGAGUGCGAAUGCGCGAAGUAACAGGAUUGACCGCCGAGAAAAACUUCUAGGGAGCCACGUUAGUGUCCGUACCAAAACUGACACAGGUAGGUAAGGUGAGAAUCCUAAGGCGCUCGAGAGAACUGCUGUUAAGGAACUCGGCAAAAUGACCCCGUAACUUCGGGAGAAGGGGUGCCGUUGAAGGUGUAGGUCUUCGCGAUCGAAGCUUUCGGCGGCCGCAGAGAAUUGGCCCAACCAACUGUUUACUAAAAACACAGGUCUGUGCUAACUCCUAACGAGGAUGUAUACAGACUGACGCCUGCCCAAUGCCGGAAGGUUAAGGGGAGUGGUUAGCGUAAGCGAAGCUGCGAACUGAAGCCCCGGUGAAUGGCGGCCGUAACUAUGACGGUCCUAAGGUAGCGAAGUUCCUUGUCGGGUAAGUUCCGACCCGCACGAAAGGCGUAAUGAGUUGGGCACUGUCUCAACAGCAGACUCGGCGAAAUUGUAGUCGUGGUGAAGAUGCCACGUUCCCGCACUAAGACGGAAAGACCCCGUGAACCUUUACUGCAGCCUGAUAUUGGUGCUUGUUAUGUAGUGCGUAGCAUAGGUGGGAGGCGUCGAAGCGGACCUUUCGGGGUUUGUGGAGCCAUUAGUGAAAUACCACUCUCUGCAUAUUAGGUCUCUAACGCGUUUAUCUGAAUCGAUGACGCGGACAGUUUCAGGUGGGUAGUUUGGCUGGGGCGGUCUCCUCCUAAAAGGUAACGGAGGAGCGCGAUGGUACACUCAGUGUGGUUAGCAAUCACACGUAGAGCGCAAGGGUAUAAGUGUGCCUGACUGCGAGAGAUAUAGCUCGAGCAGAUACGAAAGUAGGUCCUAGUGAUCCGGCGGAUUCCGAGUGGAAGGGCCGUCGCUCAUCAGAUAAAAGGUACUCCGGGGAUAACAGGCUGAUCUCCCCCAAGAGUUCAUAUCGACGGGGAGGUUUGGCACCUCGAUGUCGGCUCAUCGCAUCCUGGGGCUGAAGGCGGUCCCAAGGGUUUGGCUGUUCGCCAAUUAAAGCGGUACGUGAGCUGGGUUUAGACCGUCGUGAGACAGGUCGGUCCCUAUCUGGUGUGGGUGUAGGAUGAUUGAGGAGGUAUUCCCCUAGUACGAGAGGAUUGGGGAGUACGACCCUCUGGUGCACCAGUUAUCACGCUAGUGGUACAGCUGGGUAGCUACGGUCGGAACGGAUAAGCGCUGAAUGCAUCUAAGUGCGAAGCCUUCUUCAAAACGAGUCAUCCCUACCAGUCCCCUGGAAGACUACCAGGUUGAUAGGCCAGCGGUGUAAGCACAGCAAUGUGUUCAGCCUACUGGUACUAAUCGGACGAUCGGCUUAACCAC